This is a long non-coding RNA of Triticum aestivum (bread wheat), 1013 nucleotides long. RefSeq lists it as uncharacterized. NCBI's taxonomy places the organism in Eukaryota, Viridiplantae, Streptophyta, Magnoliopsida, Poales, Poaceae. The transcript has 2 exons. The record is from RefSeq and is a predicted model, not a curated record.
AGCACUUCCCACCCCGCGGUGGCACCCCCACUCCCGACCACCUCCCAUCCCGAGGCGGCGCCCCCACCCCUGACCACCUUCCACCCCGUGGCGGCUACCUCUCCCGUUCCCAAUGGCUCCGGGCGGCGGGCAGCUGCUCUUACCAGCCUGCUCGCACCACCCGCCCCCCGCUGUGUGCCGCCACCCGCCCCGAUCGCCGGCGACGGAUCGGAGCUGCCCGCCACCCCGCGCCUAACUAGCGGCAGAUCUGAGCCCCUCGCCACUCCACACCCAGACGACGAUGGAUCCGAGCACCCCCCGCCACCCCGUGCCCAACCGGCGGCGGUUUUGAGCACCCACCCACCCCACCCUGUGCCCAACUGGCGGCGGAUCCGAGCACCCCCACCCCCACCCCGUGCCCAACCAGCGGUGGAUCUGAGCACCCCCCACCCCCACCCCGUGCCCAACCGGCGGCUGGUCUGACCUCCUCCUCCAUUGGAAGCCCAGUUAGGAGCCCCCCACCUUCCUCCCGCCGGCCCCUCCUACUGCACCGCCCCCUACCACCUUCCUCCUACUGGCUGCCCCUCCCGUCGUGUUGGUCAUCGCCGCGUACACCGGCAUGCUAGCCUCCCUCGUCGCUCGCUUCCUUUCGAUGUUCAAGUACAGUUUCCCGCGUGCGUUGUACUACACCGGGCAUGAGGAGGCCGACGACAUGCAGAGAUGAUAUGUAGUACGCCGGCACACCAUGCAGUUAGCGCGGUGCAUGAUUGCAAAAAAUUGUGGCCGUAUUGUUUUCUUUUAUUUGUAUAGAAAAAAGCUUCAUCUCUUCAGGCACAAGUAGCCUAUUUAAUUUAGAAUAUGCAGUUCAGUGGCAUGGUAUAUUUUGCAGGUGCAGUAGGCCGCUAGGAUGUGAUCUAGGGCAGCACGCCUAGUCCUCAAUUGUUGUUCGACUAGUGAUAGUGUCGAUUUUGUGUGUAUGACUGUGUGUGUGGCUAUGUAAAAAUAAUGAAAAGAUAUAUAUGUUUUGAAGCUCA